Molecule: ribosomal RNA, 490 nt
Filed under: uncultured bacterium
Lineage: Bacteria
Description: bacterial SSU rRNA
Rfam family: Bacterial small subunit ribosomal RNA
Source: RNAcentral
CUACGAGUUUGAUCCUGGCUCAGGAUGAACGCUAGCGCAGGCUUAAUACAUGCAAGUCAAGGGGGUAGCAAUACAACCGGCGCACGGGUGAGUAACGCGUACACAACAUACCAUAUACUGGAGUAUAGCUUUGGGAAACUGAAGGUAAUCCUCCAUAACAUUGCGAGAGGGCAUCUGAUUGCAAUUAAAGUUCCGGCGGUAUAUGAUUGGUGUGCGUUUGAUUAGCUAGUUGGUAGGGUAACGGCCUACCAAGGCGACGAUCAAUAGCUGGCGUGAGAGCGCGACCAGCCACACUGGAACUGAGACACGGUCCAGACUCCUACGGGAGGCAGCAGUAGGGAAUAUUGGACAAUGGGCGAAAGCCUGAUCCAGCCAUGCCGCGUGAUAGAUGAAGGCCCUCUGGGUUGUAAAUAUCUUUUAUCUGGGAAGAAACUCCUCUAUUCUUAGAGGCCUGACGGUACCAGAGGAAUAAGCACCGGCUAACUCCGUG